This 483-nucleotide ribosomal RNA is filed under the name Hydrodytes opalinus. Its description in RNAcentral is "partial 16S ribosomal RNA". It matches the Rfam family "Bacterial large subunit ribosomal RNA", at positions 1857 to 2597 of the family's 2925-position model. Lineage: Eukaryota; Metazoa; Arthropoda; Insecta; Coleoptera; Dytiscidae. RNAcentral also lists the same sequence under 1 other name. The record is from RNAcentral.
ACCUGCCCACUGAUUAAGUUUAAAUGGCCGCAGUAUUUUGACUGUGCAAAGGUAGCAUAAUCAUUAGUUUUUUAAUUGAAAGCUUGUAUGAAUGGUUGGACGAGAUAAAAACUGUCUUUAUUUUAUAUUUAGAAUUUAAUUUUUAAGUUAAAAAGCUUAAAUUUUUUUAAAAGACGAGAAGACCCUAUAGAUCUUUAUAAAUUUUAUUAAUAGUUUUAUUUAAGAAUUUUUUAUAAAUUAAUUAGAAAUUUUAUUUUAUUGGGGUAAUAGGGAGAUUAAAUAAAUUCUUUUUUAUAUAUAAUAAUUAUAAUUAUUUUAAUGAUCCAAUAAUAUUGAUUAUAAGAUUAAGUUACCUUAGGGAUAACAGCGUAAUUUUUUUUGAGAGUUCAUAUCGAUAAGAAAGUUUGCGACCUCGAUGUUGGAUUAAAAGUAAUCUUAGGAGCAGAAAUUUAAGAUUUUGGUCUGUUCGACCAUUAAAUUUUU